CGGGCGGGUGAGCAAUGUCUGGGAAACUGCCCGAUGGAGGGGGGAAACUACUGGAAACGGUAGCUAAUACCGCAUAACGUCGCAAGACCAAAGAGGGGGACCUUAGGGCCUCUUGCCAUCGGAUGUGCCCAGAUGGGAUUAGCUAGUAGGUGGGGUAACGGCUCACCUAGGCGACGAUCCCUAGCUGGUCUGAGAGGAUGACCAGCCACACUGGAACUGAGACACGGUCCAG
This 232-nucleotide ribosomal RNA is filed under the name uncultured bacterium. RNAcentral describes it as "partial 16S ribosomal RNA". It matches the Rfam family "Bacterial small subunit ribosomal RNA", at positions 99 to 334 of the family's 1533-position model. The record is from RNAcentral.